AAAAUGACAAACCAUAGGUUUUUUUUUAUCAACAUUUGAUUGUCCGUUUUAUAUGAAAAUUUUUUAUAAUUUGUAUUUUCGUUGUUGUUAGAUGAUAAAACAUGAUAAAUACUUUAUGCGUGACUUAUCUUUUUAAUUUUUUCAUAAUUUUUUUAAAUAAGACGGACGGUCAAAUGUUAGACACGGAAACCAGGGUUGUCUUUUUU
Non-coding RNA from Oryza nivara, 206 nucleotides. NCBI's taxonomy places the organism in Eukaryota, Viridiplantae, Streptophyta, Magnoliopsida, Poales, Poaceae. The record is from Rfam.